RNAcentral lists this ribosomal RNA (583 nucleotides) under fungal sp. 57504. RNAcentral's name for it is "eukaryotic LSU rRNA". The stretch from base 217 to 370 matches the Rfam family "5.8S ribosomal RNA". The record is from RNAcentral. Lineage: Eukaryota; Fungi.
GGUUUCCGUAGGUGAACCUGCGGAAGGAUCAUUACCGAGUGUAGGGUUCCUAGCGAGCCCAACCUCCCACCCGUGUUUACUGUACCUUAGUUGCUUCGGCGGGCCCGCCAUUCAUGGCCGCCGGGGGCUCUCAGCCCCGGGCCCGCGCCCGCCGGAGACACCACGAACUCUGUCUGAUCUAGUGAAGUCUGAGUUGAUUGUAUCGCAAUCAGUUAAAACUUUCAACAAUGGAUCUCUUGGUUCCGGCAUCGAUGAAGAACGCAGCGAAAUGCGAUAACUAGUGUGAAUUGCAGAAUUCCGUGAAUCAUCGAGUCUUUGAACGCACAUUGCGCCCCCUGGUAUUCCGGGGGGCAUGCCUGUCCGAGCGUCAUUGCUGCCCAUCAAGCACGGCUUGUGUGUUGGGUCGUCGUCCCCUCUCCGGGGGGGACGGGCCCCAAAGGCAGCGGCGGCACCGCGUCCGAUCCUCGAGCGUAUGGGGCUUUGUCACCCGCUCUGUAGGCCCGGCCGGCGCUUGCCGAACGCAAAUCAAUCUUUUUCCAGGUUGACCUCGGAUCAGGUAGGGAUACCCGCUGAACUUAAGCAU